RNAcentral lists this unclassified non-coding RNA (329 nucleotides) under soil metagenome. Its description in RNAcentral is "partial contains 5.8S ribosomal RNA, internal transcribed spacer 2, and large subunit ribosomal RNA". The stretch from base 1 to 120 matches the Rfam family "5.8S ribosomal RNA", at positions 35 to 154 of the family's 154-position model. The record is from RNAcentral.
GAUGAAGAACGUAGUGAAAUGCGAUAAGUAAUGUGAAUUGCAGAAUUCAGUGAAUCAUCGAAUCUUUGAACGCACAUUGCGCCCCCUGGUAUUCCGGGGGGCAUGCCUCUUCCAGCGUCAUUUCACCCCUCAAGCUCUGCUUGGUUUUGGGCCGCGCCGGCAACGGCGGGCCUCGAAAAUAGUGGCGACGCCAUCGUGCUCUCAGCGUAGUAAUUCUUCUCGCUGUUGGGUCCCGGUGGUCGUCCGCCAGCAACCCCCAACUUUCUUAAGUUUGACCUGGGAUGAGGUAGGGAUACCCGCUGAACUUAAGCAUAUCAAUAAGCGGAGGA